Molecule: ribosomal RNA, 466 nt
Filed under: uncultured bacterium
Lineage: Bacteria
Description: partial 16S ribosomal RNA
Rfam family: Bacterial small subunit ribosomal RNA
Source: RNAcentral
GAUGAACGCUGGCGGCGUGCUUAACGCAUGCAAGUCGAACGGAAAGGCUCCUGCUUGCAGGGGUACUCGAGUGGCGAACGGGUGAGUAACACGUGGGUGAUCUGCCCUGCACUUCGGGAUAAGCCUGGGAAACUGGGUCUAAUACCGGAUAGGACGAUGGUUUGGAUGCCAUUGUGGAAAGUUUUUUCGGUGUGGGAUGAGCUCGCGGCCUAUCAGCUUGUUGGUGGGGUAAUGGCCUACCAAGGCGUCGACGGGUAGCCGGCCUGAGAGGGUGUACGGCGACAUUGGGACUGAGAUACGGCCCAGACUCCUACGGGAGGCAGCAGUGGGGAAUAUUGCACAAUGGGCGCAAGCCUGAUGCAGCGACGCCGCGUGGGGGAUGACGGCCUUCGGGUUGUAAACUCCUUUCGCUAGGGACGAAGCGCAAGUGACGGUACCUGGAGAAGAAGCACCGGCUAACUACGUG